UAGAAAUACGAUCUGGGGGGCGAGGAAAUAAGGAAGGAUCGGUGCGGCAGCUGCCCCUGUACGACACGCCGUACGAGCCGGCGGAGAACGGGGGGGACUCUGACCCGGACGUGCGCUGCCCCAGAGAGAGCCGGCUGCCCCAGGAUGACGAGCGACCCCCCGAGGAGUACGACCAGCCCUGGGAGUGGAAGAAGGAGAGGAUUUCCAAAGCUUUUGCAGCUCUGCUUUGUUAUGACUGCAUUAGCUACGAGGGUUCUGUAAGUGGCACUGGAUCAGGUCCCCACGGAGGAAAGGACUGCAACUCUAAACCCCUCACAGUAGAGAUUAAAGUGAUCAAGGACCUACCGUGGCCCCCCCCUGUCGGGCAGCUCAACACCAGCCCUCCCCUGGUGGAGGGGCUGGAGUCUCCCUCGCAGACGGCUCAGCCCUCGCCAGGACAGACCAGCUGUGACCAGCACC
Molecule: long non-coding RNA, 459 nt
Organism: Notothenia coriiceps (black rockcod)
Lineage: Eukaryota; Metazoa; Chordata; Actinopteri; Perciformes; Nototheniidae
Exons: 3
Source: RefSeq, a predicted model, not a curated record